This 74-nucleotide transfer RNA is filed under the name Medicago truncatula (barrel medic). Its description in RNAcentral is "tRNA-Met (CAT) (tRNA-Met-CAT-4-1)". It matches the Rfam family "tRNA". From Rfam's summary of the family: Transfer RNA (tRNA) molecules are approximately 80 nucleotides in length. Their secondary structure includes four short double-helical elements and three loops (D, anti-codon, and T loops). Further hydrogen bonds mediate the characteristic L-shaped molecular structure. tRNAs have two regions of fundamental functional importance: the anti-codon, which is responsible for specific mRNA codon recognition, and the 3' end, to which the tRNAs corresponding amino acid is attached (by aminoacyl-tRNA synthetases). tRNAs cope with the degeneracy of the genetic code in two manners: having more than one tRNA (with a specific anti-codon) for a particular amino acid; and 'wobble' base-pairing, i.e. permitting non-standard base-pairing at the 3rd anti-codon position. Lineage: Eukaryota; Viridiplantae; Streptophyta; Magnoliopsida; Fabales; Fabaceae. The record is from RNAcentral.
GGGGUGGUGGUGCAGUUGGCUAGCGCGUAGGUCUCAUAAUCCUGAGGUCGAGAGUUCAAGCCUCUCUCACCCCA